UACGUAGGGGGCUAGCGUUGUCCGGAAUCAUUGGGCGUAAAGAGCGUGUAGGCGGUUCGGUAAGUCUGCUGUGAAAGUCCAGGGCUCAACCCUGGAAAGCCGGUGGAUACUGUCGGACUAGAGUGCGGAAGAGGCGAGUGGAAUUCCCGGUGUAGCGGUGAAAUGCGCAGAUAUCGGGAGGAACACCUAUUGCGAAGGCAGCUCGCUGGGACGUUACUGACGCUGAGACGCGAAAGCGUGGGGAGCAAACAGG
This 253-nucleotide ribosomal RNA is filed under the name uncultured bacterium. Its description in RNAcentral is "partial 16S ribosomal RNA". It matches the Rfam family "Bacterial small subunit ribosomal RNA", at positions 524 to 776 of the family's 1533-position model. The record is from RNAcentral.